ACCCGGGCGUCGGGAGCAGGGGAAGCGUCGCGGAGAGGACAAUCCGAGAAAAGGGGAACGAGACAGAGAAAGGAGCAUGGCCCCUGCGCAAGAAUGCCCGCAUAAAUCGAAAGGGUUCAAAUGGUGUUGCUCUACUCCUCCAGCGGGGGACCGCAUCCUUUCAUGCAGCAAAACGGUUCCGUCGUUUCAAUGUUCUUCAGGGUUGCCCAGUUCCACACUGGAAUGAGGAUCGUCAGAUUUCUUUUACCAGAUCAUUCCAGUAUCCAGGCUUCCCAAUCUGCAUAAAGGUAGAACUAUUUAAUCGACGUUCCAAGCAAUGGCUCCACAAGUGAUGAUAAAUCCAGGAACAUAUGGGACAAUAACUCUAAACAUGAGAGGACGAGGGGGUAUAUAAUUCCUUAUUGGGCCAUUUUUUUGCUUUUACUGUUGGCAAAUGGCAAUAACCUCGGAAAAUUUCCUAUAUAUCUUCUUGAAUUUGAAUUUUUUAUUGAAUUUGGAUGAAAUGUAAUAUAAAAUUGUAUUAGAAUUUAUUCAAAUUCAUCCAAAUCCAAAUCAAAGGCGGGAAAUUUAGGCUUGAAAUGCUCCCCACGGCAGCAUUUCGGUUAUGGUUCCACUUAUGGAUUGUUCAUCAUAUAUUUAGCUAAUUUUUGUGUUUCACA
Molecule: long non-coding RNA, 659 nt
Organism: Malania oleifera
Lineage: Eukaryota; Viridiplantae; Streptophyta; Magnoliopsida; Santalales; Ximeniaceae
Exons: 2
Source: RefSeq, a predicted model, not a curated record